Molecule: microRNA precursor, 125 nt
Filed under: Canis lupus familiaris (dog)
Lineage: Eukaryota; Metazoa; Chordata; Mammalia; Carnivora; Canidae
Description: microRNA mir-8845 (MIR8845)
Source: RNAcentral
AGAUCUAGAUGCCACAGGAUGCAUCCUCCACAUUCUGCAAGGCAGGACCGACACCUUCACCCGUGGCUGGCUGUGGGUCCCUGGCUGCCUUGCGCUGCUAACGAACCCUGGGUGUGCCUCUGUGU